This 69-nucleotide transfer RNA is filed under the name Marmota marmota marmota (Alpine marmot). It matches the Rfam family "tRNA". From Rfam's summary of the family: Transfer RNA (tRNA) molecules are approximately 80 nucleotides in length. Their secondary structure includes four short double-helical elements and three loops (D, anti-codon, and T loops). Lineage: Eukaryota; Metazoa; Chordata; Mammalia; Rodentia; Sciuridae. RNAcentral also lists the same sequence under 3 other names. The record is from Rfam by way of RNAcentral.
GGUAUAUAGCUCAGUUGAUAGAGUGCUUGCCUUGCAUGCACAAGGCCCUGGGUUCAAUCCCCAGCACCA